AUUCCGGUUGAUCCUGCCGGAGGCCAUUGCUAUCGGAGUUCGACUUAGCCAUGCUAGUCGCGCGGGUUUAGACCCGCGGCAAAUAGCUCAGUAACACGUGGCCAAACUGCCCUACAGAUCGGAAUAACCUCGGGAAACUGAGGCUAAUGCCGAAUAGGACUUUCAGGUUGGAGUGCCGAGAGUUCGAAACGCUACGGCGCUGUAGGAUGUGGCUGCGGCCGAUUAGGUAGACGGUGGGGUAACGGCCCACCGUGCCGAUAAUCGGUACAGGUUGUGAGAGCAAGAGCCUGGAGACGGAAUCUGAGACAAGAUUCCGGGCCCUACGGGGCGCAGCAGGCGCGAAACCUUUACACUGCACGACAGUGCGAUAGGGGAACUCCGAGUGCGAGGGCAUAGAGCCCUCGCUUUUCCACACCGUAAGGUGGUGCGGGAACAAGUGCUGGGCAAGACCGGUGCCAGCCGCCGCGGUAAUACCGGCAGCACAAGUGAUGGCCGAUUUUAUUGGGCCUAAAGCGUCCGUAGCUGGCCGUGCAAGUCUGUCGGGAAAUCCAGUGGCUCAACCUCUGGGCUUCCGGCGGAAACUGCUCGGCUUGGGACCGGAAGACUCGAGGGGUACGUUCGGGGUAGGAGUGAAAUCCUGUAAUCCUGAACGGACCACCGAUGGCGAAAGCACCUCGAGAGCACGGAUCCGACAGUGAGGGACGAAAGCUAGGGUCUCGAACCGGAUUAGAUACCCGGGUAGUCCUAGCUGUUAACGAUGCCCGCUCGGUUCGGCGCAGGCUACGAGCCUGUGCCGCGCCUCAGUGAAGACGUAAGCGGGCCGCCUGGGAAGUACGUCCGCAAGGAUGAAACUUAAAGGAAUUGGCGGGGGAGCACUACAACCGGAGGAGCCUGCGGUUUAAUUGGACUCAACGCCGGACAUCUCACCNUUACCCGACGCCGUUGAGAGGAGGUGCAUGGCCGCCGUCAGCUCGUACCGUGAGGCAUCCUGUUAAGUCAGGCAACGAGCGAGACCCGCGUCCGUAAUUGCCAGCAGCACCCUUGUGGUGGCUGGGUACAUUACGGAGACUGCCACGGCUAACGUGGAGGAAGGAACGGGCAACGGUAGGUCAGCAUGCCCCGAAUGUGCUGGGCAACACGCGGGCUACAAUGGCCNGAGACUGCCACGGCUAACGUGGAGGAAGGAACGGGCAACGGUAGGUCAGCAUGCCCCGAAUGUGCUGGGCAACACGCGGGCUACAAUGGCCUGGACAGUGGGUUGCAACACCGAGAGGUGGCGCUAAUCCCCUAAACCGGGUCGUAGUUCGGAUUGAGGACUGAAACUCGUCCUCAUGAAGCUGGAUUCGGUAGUAAUCGCGUGUCAGAAGCGCGCGGUGAAUACGUCCCUGCUCCUUGCACACACCGCCCGUCAAAUCACCNUCACCCGAGUGGGGUCCGGAUGAGGCCAUCAUGCGAUGGUCGAAUCUGGGCUCCGCAAGGGGGAUUAAGUCGUAACAAGGUAGCCGUAGAGGAAUCUGCGGCUGGAUCACCUCCU
Halosimplex carlsbadense 2-9-1 is the source of this 1534-nucleotide non-coding RNA. The record is from Rfam. Lineage: Archaea; Methanobacteriati; Methanobacteriota; Halobacteria; Halobacteriales; Haloarculaceae.